UACGAAAAAAUAAAUGGGAUCGAAAUCAAUUUUUCAAUCUGCACACGAGAUUGUUGGCGCCGAAGGUCUUUACAGUAAUUUACUCGGUCAUCUAAAUUGUUCAGUGUAGCCGAAAAGAAAAAGAAGGUUGAAUAAACCCCGGAGCGAACAGAGGUUUGAGGCCUAGGGUUUUGCCAUAAUCGACCCGAGAGUUGGGAAUCGGUAGGCAUGGAAGUCCCAAUCCUCGGCAGCGAUUCACUGAAAUGGAUUGAGUUCCCUAUUCCUUCUUCUUCUUCUAAUGCCGCCACCGCCACCGCCACCGCCGAUGCUGAUACUUGUGCCCCUCUCACUCACGAUUGCGCUUCUUCCAUCGCCAUUGGCGACCCUCCUACACAUCUCAUAUGGAGAAUCCACAAGCAUCUCCCUCACUCUCUCGAAUUACUCGAGCUCUCUGCUAACAAAGAAUUUCCAAAACUCGGACUGCGAAUCACUUUUCCACAAGCACUCUCUUCCUCCGUUUUUCUUUGCAAAAAUGAGAUUGAUGUCGGUUCCAGGAGCCACCCUUAUUUGCUCUACGCAUUGACCGUCUCCGGAGUCGCUUACCUUUUGAGACUUGGAACCGUCUCUAGUUAUGCUUCCAGCUCUGUUAUUAGAGAGUUUAGCUUGCAUCCCCACGGACCUAUAACCAGUGCCGCAGCAACGCCAGCCGGAUGUCUUGUUGUAGGUCGGAAUGACGGCUCACUUGCUUGCUUUCAACUCACACUUGAAUCCACUGCUCCUGGUUUUCUGCAAGAGCUACGGGAUGAUCCAGGAAUCGGUAGUUUGUGGGGUUUCAUGUCAAGGGGUAGGACAGUAGGCGCUGUGCAGGACUUGGCUAUAUCUAUGGUUCAUGGGAAACCACUUAUAUUCGUUAUUCAUACGGAUGGGGUGUUACGAGUAUGGGAUAUAUCAUUUCAUAGCAGGCUCUUUUCCCAUAAGAUGAACGGUCUUACAAUGGCAGGAGCUGCAUUGGUAAGGUUAUGGGUUGGUCAAGCUGACAAUGAUUCGAGCAUAAUUCCUUUGGCAAUCUUGUACAGACAUAAUUCGGAAAUGAGCUCAGAGACGAUCUACGUAUAUAGCCUCCAUUGUAACGUGGGAGACAGAAUUGUUUUAUCGUUGGAUCCUUCAGAACAAAUUUUUCCUAUUGAGGAGGAUGGAUGGAUUGAUGUCAAACUUAUUUCCAACAAGAUAUGCAUAUUGAAAAAUCAGGGACUAGUGCUUCACAAGUUGUUGCAUACAAAUGUCAACAUGGUAGAUGCAGUUUGUUAUGCUUUGCAAGAGGACUUCGUUGCAGAUCAACUCUUUCAAAGUUCUGAACAUUCUUCGGAUGACCUUCUUUUGAUAACUCAUUCAAUAUUUUCAUCUUCAAAGGAUCAUAUUCUACCCGUUGUAUCUUCUAUUUUCUUACGUAGGCUGCUUCUUCCUGGCAUUCAUCAUAAUGCUGCUUUGCGCACAACUUUGUUGGAUUAUAAUAGGCACUGGACUGAGUCAGAUUUCCACUCCUUAACUGCUGACGGGUUGAAGAAGGAAAUUCUUUCCCUGAUUGAACAUGAGGUUUUCCUAAUGGGUCUGACUGGUAAUUCAUCGUCAAUAUUUUGCUGCUGGAAAAUUUUUUGUGCUCGCUAUUUCCAAAACUGGUGCAAGAGCAAUGCACCAUGUGGCCUGCUUGUUGAUUCCUCAACUGGCACUGUUGGUUUAAUUAGAAAGAGUUCAGUAUCUCUUUUUCGUUCUUUGGAGGAUAUUGAGCGGGUUAAUGAUGGCUCUUUGGAUGAACUUGGCAAUUUUCCAAGCUUUGGGUUGGAUUCAUUUGAUGAGACUCUUGAUUGUGAGCUACUUGCUGAAAUGCUCAGAUGUGUCAUUAACGUCAGCCAGCAAUUGGGCAAAACAGCUUCUGCUAUAUUUUAUGAAUCACUCAUUAGUGCACCACCAGUUAUCUCAUCUGAAGAAAUUAUUCCGCGCCUAUUGAAGAUAUUAGAAACUGGAUAUAGUUCAACAGCCGCAGUGCUUCAUAUAUCAGAUCUUGGACCUGAUGUUGCCUGGGAGAAAAAUCUAGCAGAUCACAAAAAUUUGAGGAAAUUUUCAAUUGACAUGAUGUUGUCUCUUCAUGCUUUGCACGAGAAAUCUGGCACAUGGAGCCGUAUUUUGAGUGUGAUUGAGAACUAUCUAAAGUAUCUCAUACCUCGGAAAAUUAUACAAAAAUUUGAUGCUGAAGUAGCAUUGGAUAUCAAUGCCUCCAUCUUGGUCCAGGCUAUGUCUCAAGUUGCAAAGGUUAUGUUUGAGUCUGCACUGGAUAUUCAUCUGUUUCUAAGCUAUCUAGUGAGCAUUAGUGGGCAGAUCAAUAUGCUACAUGAUGAUAUAUCCAAAAUACAGCUUGAGUUGGUUCCAGUGAUUCAAGAAAUCAUUUAUGAGUGGCUUCUCUUACAUUUCUUUGCCACCACACCAUCUGAAUCAGCUGCAAUUGAAGAUUUCAGCUCUCAACUUUCAUUGUUACAAAUUGAUAGCAACACAGGCAGAAGAUCAUGGAAUGAGAAGCUUGGGAAGUGCGAGUUCACUCUGGCUUUUAUAUUCUUACUUAAUGUUAGAAGUUCCUCCAAAGACCAGAGCCACUUUUCUCCAAGAAGCAUACCAAACGUUCAGGACAUAAUUGAUUCAAUACGAGAAUUUGCUAGCUGGAUCAUGUGGGGCCAGAAUGGGGAAUCCCUUACUGUCCUGAGGCGUGCAGCGGAUCUUGCAUUGAUCCUGCUACGGCACGGGCAGUAUGAUGCUGUUGAGCACCUACUCACUAUUGUGGAGGCACAUUUACAAAAGGAGAAGACUUCUCAUCGUAUUCAAGCUACAGAUGGUGGAUGGUGCAUACUGCAUCAUCUUUUAGGAUGCUGUUUCCUUGCUCAAGCACAUCGUGGAUUACAUGGGGUCCUGAAAGAGAGGAAAGUUCAUGAAGCUGUUCGUUGUUUCUUCAGAGCUGCAUCUGGAAAUGGCUCAGCGCAGGCCUUACAAAGUUUGCCUCAGGAAGCGGGGUUGCCACAUCUUGGUAUCGAUGGUAGCGUAUCAGAUGCUUCAUGGAGGCUCCAUUACUAUCAGUGGGCAAUGCAGAUAUUUGAGCAAUAUAAUAUUAGUGAAGGUGCAUGUCAGUUUGCUCUUGCUGCGCUUGAGCAAGUUGAGGAAGCUUAUAGUGCAAACAAUGAGUCCCAUGACAGAGCUCCAUUUGAUGAAUCAGUAUCUACCAUCAAAGGAAGACUUUGGGCACAUGUUUGCAAGUUUACUUUAGAUCUCAAUCUCUUUUAUGAUGCGUAUUGUGCAAUAAUUUCAAAUCCAGAUGAGGAGAGCAAGCACAUCUGGUUGAGGCGUCUUAUAAUUGUUCUUUAUGAACGUGGUGCCAUAAAGAUUCUUUGUGGUGGUCAGCUACCAUUCAUUGGUCUUACAGAGAAGGUGGAACAAGAGCUUUCAUGGAAGGCUGAGCGGUCAGACAUUUUAGCAAAGCCAAACUUAUAUAAGUUGCUUUAUGCAUUUGAAAUGCAUCGGCAUAACUGGCGAAAAGCAGCAAGCUACAUGUACCUUUAUUCUGCUCGUUUGAGAACUGAAACAUCUCUGAAAGGGUACCAGCAAUUGUGGCGAGCACUGAAGGAGAUACUGAAUGGGCUCUCUGCUGCUAUCAACGCACUUCAUCUUGUUCAUCCAGCAUAUGCUUGGAUUGAUCCUCUCCUUGAGAGAAAUGCUAUUCACAAUGAGCAGUAUCCAAGUAAAAAGGCUAGAAUAACAAUUGAAGACCAGCCAGCAAGCAAUGAUGUUGAUCCUCAAAGUUGGAAAUCUUAUAUAGAUAUUCAGAAAAUUGAAAACGAGUUUGUGCUUACUUCAGCAGAAUAUUUGCUUUCACUGGCACAUGUCAAAUGGACAAAUACAGGAACCCAGAAAGCACCAUUGGAGUUGGUUGAUCUCUUGAUCCAGACAAAUCUAUAUGAUAUGGCAUUUACAGUUCUUUUAAGAUUCUUCAAAGGUUCAGAGUUAAAGAGGGGAUUGGAAAGAGUUUUCUCUGCUAUGUCACUAAAAUGCUGUCCACAUAUAGUUAAUUCUUCAAGGGUCGGGGAUGAUUCGACAACACGGGGUCUUCUGUUGACUUCUUCAAAGGAUGAAGUGAUCGUUCAUGGUUCACCAGAUACAAGUUCAGCAAAUCAACAAUCCAGCGGAAUUAAUCAAUGGGGAACUCUCGAGCUUUAUCUUGACCGAUAUAAAGUCUUCCAUGCACGUCUACCAUUUUUUGUUGCUGAAACUCUUCUUCGUACGGAUUCUCAAAUCGAACUGCCUCUUUGGUUGGUUAAAUUAUUCAAGGAUGGCAGGAGGGAAAAGACAUUGAGGAUGACUGGCCAAGAAUCAAGUCCGGCAUUAUUAUUUCAACUAUAUGUUGAUUAUGGUCGAUAUAGAGAAGCUACGAAUCUGUUGCUUGAGUACAUAGGUUCUUUAGCAUCCAUGAGACCAGCCAACAUCAUGAAUCGUAAAAGACCAUUUGGAGUUUGGUUUCCAUAUACAACAAUUCAGCGCCUCUGGUGCCAACUUGAGGAAAUGAUAAAUUCAGGUCACAUGGUAGAUCAAUGUAAGCAGCUCAAAGAUUUGCUACAUGGAGCUUUGCUGAAACAUCUCCAACUGGUAAAAUCGGACUCGGAAGAUGCAGUUAGUUGAGUGAGUCAUUUCAGAAAAUAAGAUGAAAACGGAUGCAAUCUCGAGUAUCAUUUGCUGUAAAGAUAUGCAUCAGCUAUCACCUGACAAGUGCCGCAAGUCUAACAAGCCAGUAGUGGGCCUCCUCCUAACACAGAAUAUAAAAUGCCCGACUCUUGGUACUCAUCAGGGUAAUUGAACUCUUCUAAGGCUGAGAAACACUAGAACUAGAUAUAACAAAUUGUAUUUUUGGUUCCAGCAAAUUGGUUAGCCAUUGAAUUCUAAUAGACAAUCGGAGAAGAUGGUGCUGAUAAACCAAGAUGAGCUGUUUGUAUUAGACGGCAGGGAACCCACUUUUCUGUGCUUUUUGUUGGUGAUUGAAAACUCAGAGGCUGGAAGAGGGACGAACCCAAGAAUUGUUCAACAUCUUGUCAUCCAAGAGAGAGAAUGUAACAAAUACGAAACCCCCCAAUUCUGAAGUUGUGAUAAUAAAAUGAAUUCAAAGUUGCAAAUAGAUUAAAUGAAAAGCCAACUCAAUGUAAAGAUAAU
Molecule: RNA transcript, 5217 nt
Organism: Rosa rugosa (rugosa rose)
Lineage: Eukaryota; Viridiplantae; Streptophyta; Magnoliopsida; Rosales; Rosaceae
Gene name: nuclear pore complex protein NUP160
Exons: 28
Source: RefSeq, a predicted model, not a curated record